Molecule: small RNA, 98 nt
Filed under: Arabidopsis thaliana (thale cress)
Lineage: Eukaryota; Viridiplantae; Streptophyta; Magnoliopsida; Brassicales; Brassicaceae
Description: ATSL070830
Source: RNAcentral
AAGUUGUGCUAUGAUGAGAUCAUACAACUGAUUUUGUUACCUUUUCGAGGAGAUACUUGUUGGUGUUUUUGAGGACUCCUUCCUUUAAAUACAAAAAA